CCUACGGGUGGCAGCAGUGGGGAAUAUUGGACAAUGGGGGCAACCCUGAUCCAGCCAUGCCGCGUGUGUGAAGAAGGCCCUCGGGUUGUAAAGCACUUUCAGUGAGGAAGAACGCCUGGUGGUUAAUACCCGUCAGGAAAGACAUCACUCACAGAAGAAGCACCGGCUAACUCCGUGCCAGCAGCCGCGGUAAUACGGAGGGUGCGAGCGUUAAUCGGAAUUACUGGGCGUAAAGCGCGCGUAGGUGGCUUGAUAAGCCGGUUGUGAAAGCCCCGGGCUCAACCUGGGAACGGCAUCCGGAACUGUCAAGCUAGAGUGCAGGAGAGGAAGGUAGAAUUCCCGGUGUAGCGGUGAAAUGCGUAGAGAUCGGGAGGAAUACCAGUGGCGAAGGCGGCCUUCUGGACUGACACUGACACUGAGGUGCGAAAGCGUGGGUAGCAAACAGGAUUAGAUACCCUAGUAGUC
This 465-nucleotide ribosomal RNA is filed under the name Vreelandella stevensii. RNAcentral describes it as "partial 16S ribosomal RNA". It matches the Rfam family "Bacterial small subunit ribosomal RNA", at positions 338 to 795 of the family's 1533-position model. The record is from RNAcentral. Lineage: Bacteria; Pseudomonadati; Pseudomonadota; Gammaproteobacteria; Oceanospirillales; Halomonadaceae.